AGCAGCCGCGGUAAUUCCAGCUCCAAUAGCGUAUAUUAAAGUUGUUGCAGUUAAAAAGCUCGUAGUUGAAUUUCGGGAUCAAUAUAUCGGUCGUACCUUGGUACGUACUGGUAUCAUUGGUUUCUCCUUUCUGACGAACCAUGAUGUCAUUAAUUUGGUGUUAUAGGGAGUUAGGACUGUUACUUUGAAAAAAUUAGAGUGUUUAAAGCAGGCAUUAGCUUGAAUACAUUAGCAUGGAAUAAUGAAAUAGGACGUUUGACCUUAUUUUGUUGGUUUCUAGGAUCGACGUAAUGAUUAAUAGGGAUAGUUGGGGGCAUUAGUAUUCAAUUGUCAGAGGUGAAAUUCUUGGAUUUAUUGAAGACUAACUACUGCGAAAGCAUUUGCCAAGGAUGUUUUCAUUAAUCAAGAACGAAAGUUAGGGAUCGAAGACGAUCAGAUACCGUCGUAGUCUUAACCAUAAACUAUGCCGACUAGGGAUUAGGAUGAUGUUAAUUUUAUAAUGUACUUAUUCGGUUGCCUUACGGGAAACCUAAAGGUGUUU
Molecule: ribosomal RNA, 541 nt
Filed under: uncultured Glomus
Lineage: Eukaryota; Fungi; Glomeromycota; Glomeromycetes; Glomerales; Glomeraceae
Description: SSU rRNA
Rfam family: Eukaryotic small subunit ribosomal RNA
Source: RNAcentral